This 374-nucleotide ribosomal RNA is filed under the name uncultured eukaryote. RNAcentral describes it as "partial 18S ribosomal RNA". It matches the Rfam family "Eukaryotic small subunit ribosomal RNA", at positions 592 to 976 of the family's 1831-position model. The record is from RNAcentral.
CAAUAGCGUAUAUUUAAGUUGUUGCAGUUAAAAAGCUCGUAGUUGGAUUUCUGCUGAUCGCUGUCGGUCUGCCGUCAGGUGUGUACUGGCAGUGUUUGGCAUCUAUUCGAGAUUGGGUGUCCACUUGAUUGUGUGCACUCGAUGUCGGAGCUAAUACUUUGAGAAAAUUAGAGUGUUCCACGCAGGCGCGUGCCUUGAAUACUGCAGCAUGGGAUAUUGGAAGGCCGAUUGAGCUUUCUUGUUGGUUCUCGGUUUGAUCGGAAUGAUUAAUAGGGAUAGUUGGGGGCAUUCGUAUUCAGCCGUCAGAGGUGAAAUUCUUGGAUCUGCUAAAGACGGACAACUGCGAAAGCGUUUGCCCAGGAUGUUUUCAUUGA